ACGAACGCUGGCGGCGUGCCUAAUACAUGCAAGUCGAACGCUUCUUUCCUCCCGAGUGCUUGCACUCAAUUGGAAAGAGGAGUGGCGGACGGGUGAGUAACACGUGGGUAACCUACCCAUCAGAGGGGGAUAACACUUGGAAACAGGUGCUAAUACCGCAUAACAGUUUAUGCCGCAUGGCAUAAGAGUGAAAGGCGCUUUCGGGUGUCGCUGAUGGAUGGACCCGCGGUGCAUUAGCUAGUUGGUGAGGUAACGGCUCACCAAGGCCACGAUGCAUAGCCGACCUGAGAGGGUGAUCGGCCACACUGGGACUGGGACACGGCCCAGACUCCUACGGGAGGCAGCAGUAGGGAAUCUUCGGCAAUGGACGAAAGUCUGACCGAGCAACGCCGCGUGAGUGAAGAAGGUUUUCGGAUCGUAAAACUCUGUUGUUAGGGAAGAACAAGGACGUUAGUAACUGAACGUCCCCUGACGGUAUCUAACCAGAAAGCCACGGCUAACUACGUG
RNAcentral lists this ribosomal RNA (507 nucleotides) under uncultured bacterium. RNAcentral describes it as "partial 16S ribosomal RNA". It matches the Rfam family "Bacterial small subunit ribosomal RNA", at positions 29 to 507 of the family's 1533-position model. The record is from RNAcentral.